RNAcentral lists this ribosomal RNA (253 nucleotides) under uncultured Parabacteroides sp. RNAcentral's name for it is "partial 16S ribosomal RNA". It matches the Rfam family "Bacterial small subunit ribosomal RNA", at positions 524 to 776 of the family's 1533-position model. Lineage: Bacteria; Pseudomonadati; Bacteroidota; Bacteroidia; Bacteroidales; Tannerellaceae. The record is from RNAcentral.
UACGGAGGAUGCGAGCGUUAUCCGGAUUUAUUGGGUUUAAAGGGUGCGCAGGCGGAUUUUUAAGUCAGCGGUGAAAGUUUGUGGCUCAACCAUAAAAUUGCCGUUGAAACUGGAAGACUUGAGUGUGUUUGAGGUAGGCGGAAUGCGUGGUGUAGCGGUGAAAUGCAUAGAUAUCACGCAGAACUCCGAUUGCGAAGGCAGCUUACUAAGCCAUAACUGACACUGAAGCACGAAAGCGUGGGUAUCGAACAGG